This 260-nucleotide ribosomal RNA is filed under the name Escherichia coli. Its description in RNAcentral is "partial 16S ribosomal RNA". It matches the Rfam family "Bacterial small subunit ribosomal RNA", at positions 523 to 782 of the family's 1533-position model. The record is from RNAcentral. Lineage: Bacteria; Pseudomonadati; Pseudomonadota; Gammaproteobacteria; Enterobacterales; Enterobacteriaceae.
AUACGGAGGGUGCAAGCGUUAUCCGGAUUUAUUGGGUUUAAAGGGUCCGUAGGCGGAUCUGUAAGUCAGUGGUGAAAUCUCAUAGCUUAACUAUGAAACUGCCAUUGAUACUGUUAGUCUUGAGUGAUGUUGAAGUUGCUGGAAUGUGUAGUGUAGCGGUGAAAUGCUUAGAUAUUACGCAGAACACCAAUUGCGAAGGCAGGUGACUAAACAUUAACUGACGCUGAUGGACGAAAGCGUGGGGAGCGAACAGGAUUAGA